CGCGAACCCUGCACAACCCCUCGUGCCCUCCUCUCCCUCUCUCUCUCUCUCUCUCUCUCAGGAACCCUAGCACUCCACUCCUCCCUUGCCGCCGCCACCUCCGGCGCUCGGUCCUGGCGACCUCAGGCGGGAAUCGAAGACCGCUGUCCGGCGAGAUCCGGCCCGCGCGGCGAGAUCCAUCUCUCUCUCACACAUGAGAAGGAAAAUCCCCCGCCCCAUUCUCACGACUCAUCUGCCCCUCCCUCGAUCCCCUUCCUUCCUGAGGACGCACGCGCCGCCCCUCCCCGAUCCACAUCUCCCCUCGCCCUCCCACAUCGUGCCGCCAUCCACCUCGUCGCCUCCCAGAUGGUUGCAGGCGAUUGAAUCCGGUUCGGGUCCAUGGCAUCCACGACCGUGGCAGUGCUCGCGGUGACGGACGAGCUGGACCUGCCGCUCCACACGGUGGGGGACCUGGCGGCCGUCGCCGGCGUCUCGCAGGAGGAGGUCGUCGUCAUCACGUAGUGCACCUCGCUCGGGGGCUGGCGUUAUGGCGGCUGUGUACAACGAUGACCACAAGUUCUCCCGUGAUUUGCCUCCAUCUCCUACUCCUAGCUCCCUCUUUUUUGCUCCUAUAGCAGUAGAAGGCUUUAAAUGUGGUGCAUGCAUGAGGAUCAAUCAUGUUGACUGCGUGACAAUCAUGUUUCUCAUCAUUGUAAUUUUUGGUAGUAACUCUGAUAGGCCACUACACUUUCCAAAUUCCAAUGCUCGCCUGUUGGUCGUCCCCAAGUUUUCACUACCCUGAGCCUUCGAGUACAAGAGGCUGCUGCUUGACUAUAACAGCAAAAAUGUGCAAUAUUGGAUUAAUGAUUGAAGUGCAUUAGCGGUUUAUCUUCUUCUUCACAAGUCUGUUUGCAAUGGAUGUACAUAACUGUCAUUUUUACCUCUUGCAUAUUUAACAUACAUGACAAUAGCUGUAGGUAUUGAAAUAUAUGUGAAGGUAGAAGCUAUCGUUGCUGCCUUGUGGGUCGUAAUUCUUUCUCUCUAGACGCGUAUACUGUGUGAUGUAUCGCUCAUGCUCAUAUUCUGUACCAAGAUAGUCCUAAUAUCCGUAGGGUUGUAGACUGAUUUCCCCUUGAAAAAGCUAUGCUUCUUUCCUUGGAUGAUAAGCAUGUUCGGCAGCUAUGUGGAAUCCUUAAGAUAAAUGGUCUUUAGUUUCUUUUGGUGCAUCUGCGUGCACAUAACAGUUUGUUAGUUUCACUUUAUAUAAUGAAGAAAAUAUGCUGAUGUCAUUUGUUUAUUAUUAUCUAUCAUCUGUAGAUUGAUUUUUAGGCCAUCAGUACUUGUAUGUAUGAUUUCUAGUCUCUUGAAUGAAUAAUUUUUCUUUAGGUGACAUGUGUCUUGUGUUACUACAUACAUCUAUCGUGAAGUACAUGGUUCCAGAACUAUGGUAACCCGCAGUUUGCUCUACUGGUGAUAGUAGGAUGAUGGAAACAUCACUACUGAAUGUAGUCCCUGUUUCUUCAACUAAUCAUCAUGUACUAGAGUUUCUCUUCUUCUUGCUACUGUUUGGUUUUUGACGUCACUAGCUUGUACUAAAACGUGCAGACUUUACCCCUUGCUAGAUCCUUCGAUGGAGGUGACCCAUGUGAUGGUGAUUCGCUCCAGCAGUUCCGGUUCCGGCUAUGGUGGUGCUACACUGCUACUGCACCUAUGAUGGCUACGCAUUGGUAGGCUCGGCUGCCUCCCUUGGCUGUCGCUGUGAUGGUGAAGCUCAGCCUAGGCUACAAUCACUUCCGAUGAGCUCCUUGGGUCCCCUUCUACCCCUCCUACUCGCUCCAUGAUUAUUUGCUUUGCCUUUGUGAGGUGUAAUUGUUUAAUUUUUGUCAUAGUCGAGCAUUGGAUGAUAUCAUGAGGGACAUUGUUCAUGGAUAUGCCAACCUACAGCUUGUUGUACUAGUUAUAGUAGGAUAAUGCAAGUUUUGACAAUCCAUACAUAUCCCUACAUGUUAGUGUCUCCCCGUGUAAGUAUGAAUUCUGGUGAUGCCUUCAUCUAUGAUGAUGCUCCGCCUUUCGCAUUCAUUCA
This is a long non-coding RNA of Triticum urartu, 2062 nucleotides long. RefSeq lists it as uncharacterized. The record is from RefSeq and is a predicted model, not a curated record. NCBI's taxonomy places the organism in Eukaryota, Viridiplantae, Streptophyta, Magnoliopsida, Poales, Poaceae.